Molecule: long non-coding RNA, 6519 nt
Filed under: Vigna radiata
Lineage: Eukaryota; Viridiplantae; Streptophyta; Magnoliopsida; Fabales; Fabaceae
Description: long non-coding RNA (VRAD_LNC004558)
Source: RNAcentral
UUAACUAACAACCCAUUUAUGAUAUUAUGGUGUGGAGCAAAAGUUCUAUAUAAUCCUCAAAAUCUUUGUUCACUUGCCAUAGAAAUUCAUAAUGGAUCAUCACUUGGUCUCAUUCUUAGCUCUUUUUCUCAGUUCACUCAGUUUCAUCCUUUUUGUUUCACAGUUUCUAAAAGUGAGAAACAGAUCCAAAAACUCAGUGAAAACAUUGAAGCUUCCCCCAGGGCCAUGGAAGCUACCUGUCAUUGGAAGCUUACACCACUUAGUUGGCUCACUACCACAUCAUCGGUUGAGAGAACUUGCUAAAAAACAUGGUCCUCUCAUGCACCUACAACUUGGUGAGUCAUCAACCGUUGUGGUUUCUUCUCCAGAAGUGGCUAAAGAUGUCCUGAAAACCUAUGAUGCCAUCUUUUCUCAAAGGCCCCAUCAAAUUGCCGCAGACAUCAUGUGUUAUGGUUCCACUGACAUUGCCACUGCACCAUAUGGGGGGUAUUGGAAGCAGCUAAGAAGAAUAUGCUCACAAGAGCUUCUAAGCAACGCACGUGUGAGGUCCUUUCGAUCAAUAAGAGAAGCAGAAGUAAUGAAUUUAGUAAGAUAUAUUCAGACCAACACUGGUUCUUGUGUGAACCUUAGUGAGAAAAUAACAUACAUGACAAGUGUCAUCAUUGCAAGGACGGCUUUUGGUGAAAAAUGUAAGGAUCAACAAGAGUUCAUUUCCCUUAUCAAGAAACUUCUAAAAUUGCUCGAACGUUUAGCUAUUUUAGAUUUGUUCCCUUCUCACAAUUGGCUUCAUGUGAUUAGUGGGGAGAAACCUAGAUUGGAGAAGUUUCACAAAAAAUAUGAUGUAAUAAUGGGAAACAUCAUUACAGAGACAGAAAAUAUUAUUGGUGAAGAAGAGGUCAAUAGUCUCCUUUCAGUUCUUCUAAAUUUGAAAAAGCAAGGUGGCCUCGAAUAUCCUUUGACAAUCGAUAACAUCAAGGCUGUAAUGUUGGUGAGUGUGUGAAUUACUUUUAGUAAUUAUUUGCUUAUGUUACUGCAUGCAUAUUAAUGGAUUUAAGACCAACCUUCAUUUCAUGUCAAUAUAAAAUUAAAUAACAAAGGCACAAAAAAUUCUAUCUAGUGUUAUAAUAUUGUGAAUAGAACUAUACACACACACGCUCGUAUAACUCUAUAAAUAUUAAUUCUUAGGAGUUGCAUUUUUAUGGGAAAAUUUUGCAAUAUAUGCAUGCGAGUAUAAAUUCCAAAGCUAAAUAAAUUUAAAUUGGUUUUGGUGUUGUAGGACAUGUUUGCGGCUGGAACUGAUACAUCAUCUGUAGUUAUAGAAUGGGCCAUGUCAGAGAUGUUGGAAAACCCAAAAGUAAUGAACACAGCUCAGGAAGAAGUUAGAAGAGUUUUUGGUAGUAAAGGAUACAUGAAUGAAGAAUCAUUUGAAGAACUCAAAUAUCUGAAAGCAGUGAUCAAAGAAACCCUAAGAUUGCACCCUCCCGGCCCUCUUCUUCUUCCAAGGGAAUGUAGAGAAACUUGUGAGGUAAAAGGGUAUACAAUACCUGCUGGAACCAGAGUGAUAGUAAAUGCAUGGGCAAUUGGAAGAGACCCUGAUUAUUGGAAUGAUCCAGAGAAGUUUUAUCCUGAGAGAUUCAUGAACAGUCCGAUCGAUUAUAAAGGGUCCCAUCAUGAAUUGAUACCCUUUGGUGCUGGAAGGAGAAUGUGUGCUGGCAUGUCUUUUGGGAUAAAUAUGAUUGAACUUUGUCUUGCACAACUACUUUACUAUUUUAAUUGGGAACUUCCAAAUGGAAACAGGAAAAACUUGGAAAUGACUGAAGCUUUGGAAGGAGCCUUCUCAAGAAGACAAACGGAUUUAGUCUUAGUUCCCAUUUCUUACAAUCCUCUUCCUAUUUCAUCAAACCUUCAUUGAAGUGUUUAUCACGUUUCACCAUUAUCCUUGUUCUUUCUUUUCUGUUACUUAUUGAGAAUCUUAUGAUUCUGACAGUAAUUUUGUUUCGUGUUCUGUUUCUGUUUUUCUUGUUUCCCUUUGUAACUCUAUUAAUAGAGUCUUCCCUUCCCCUUUCAGUUUUUAAGAAACAAUAUGAUUUUUCAUCAUUGAUAGAAAAUAAGAAAAGGUGAAGUUUUUCUUACCUCUNUCGUCGCCCUCAUCAUUUUUCUCUUCUAUGUCUUCUCCAUCGUCGUCGUGUUUGACGGUGAUCGGCAACCUUGGACGCGCUCCUCUCACCAUCGUCAGACGAAGCUCCGCAAUCCUUUCUCUUUCUUACUUUCUUUCGUUUUUCGAAUUCUGCCACGCACACAGACGCUGACUGCUUCCUUAUCUUUUCUUCGGGCCAAAUAUGGUUUGGGCCAAAACAAUUAGUGCACAGUGCAAGGCCCGUUUCAAUAUAGUAUCAGAGCAGGUCUAGUACCUACUCUGCUUUCGUUGCCUCUGCUGCUGUUCUUGGGACUUUCUUCGGCCGGUUUCUUGCUUUCUUUCUUCCUCCAUAGAUCAGAUGGAUCAAUCGUCCAACCCAAACAGUCCUUUCUAUCUGCACCCAGGGGAGAAUCCUGGGCUUACUUUAAUCACUCAGAUCUUGAACGAGAAUAACUACUCUUCCUGGAGCAGAAGCAUGAGAAGAGCUCUGCUCUCCAAGAACAAGGUUAAGUUCAUUAAUGGGACCAUAAAAAGACCCCAUAAAACUGAUAUUGCGUAUGAUGUUUGGGAAAGGUGUAACAUGAUGAUUCUAUCCUAGAUAACAAAGACUUUUUCACCACACAUUGCUGAAAGCGUGAUAUACAUUGAAGAAGCCAAAGACCUAUGGGAUGAGCUCAAAGAAAGAUUCUCUAAAGGAGAUUAUUUUAAGAUUUCUGAUUUGUUACAAGACAUACAUUCUAUCAAGCAAGGAGAAAGAGGGGUGAGUCAGUUUUUCACAGAUUUAAAGAUCCUGUGGGAAGAACUGGAAUCCUUAAGACUUGUACCUAGUUACACAUGUGAGAUGCCUUGCAACUGUGACCUAUCAAAAAUUACCUUGAAAUACAGAGAAGUCAAACAUGUGAUAUGCUUUCUGAAAGGGUUAAACGACUCCUACAACACCGUCAAAACUCAAAUACUUCUAAUGGAUCCUCUCCCUAAUAUCAAUCGUGUUUUCUCUCUUAUCAUGCAACAAGAGAGACAAGAAAAGUAAGGUCCUACAGAGACCAAAAUUCUGGAAAAUAUUGUUGACAGAGGCUGCCAAUGGAAACCUUAUCAAAAUUGGAGAAACCAAGGAUGGGGCACUGGAACUCGUGGUCAAGGAAGAGGAAGGGGAGGAACCCUAACUAUGGAAAACAGUGCUCUUACUGUAAUAAGAUGAAUCACACAGUGGAUGAGUGUUAUUCCAAGCACGGUUACCCACCUUGGUACAACAAAGAAGACAAAAGGAAUGAUUGGAACUCUGCCAAUACUUGCCAGAAUAACACAGAAUCUGAAGGUGUUCAAAAGAUUCAACCUGUUAAUAACAGCAACAUUUUCAACUCCUUCACACCAGAACAGAUGUAGAAACUCCUCAAAAUGCUUGACAAGACUGUGGAACCCAUUCACAAGAUCAAUCAAAUUCAGAGAAAUGAAACUGAAAACAAGCAAGGUAAUCUUUCCUGGAUCAUUGACAUCGGGGCUACAGAUCAUGUUACACAUGACAAAACUAAUUUUGUUACUUUCUAUAAAAUAAAACCUAUUUCAGUCAAACUACCAAACAACACUGCAUUCACUACAGAACACACAAGAACAGUGCAAUUUUCUGAAAAUUUUGUUAUUUUCAAUGUUCUCUACAUCCCUGAUUUUUGUUUCAAUUUGAUCUAUGUUCAAUGCCUUACCAAAGAUUUGGAUUGCAGUCUAAUCUUUUCCUCUAAGAAUUGCCAGAUAAGGGAGAAUUGUACAUUGAAGAUGAUUGGAUGUUCUAACUCUUGGAAAGGGCUCUAUUACCUACAAGAUUUUCCUAAACUUGAUCAAAGAUAUAUUUCAAAGGUUGCUUUCUCUUUUAAGAGUGUUGAUGUGAAUUUGUGGCAUCAUAGAUUAGGUCAUUCAGGGAACGAAGUUGUAAAACAGAUAUAUGAAAAAUUUCCUUAUGUUAAAAUAGGUGUUGACACUAUUUGUGAUACUUGUCAUUAUGCCAAACAGCCAAAAAGUAUUUUUGUUACCUCUGAAUGUUUUGAGAUUGUUCAUUGUGAUAUAUGGGAUCCUCUUAACACUAUCUCUAUUCAUGGGCAUAAGUAUUUUCUUACCAUAGUAGAUGACUAUAGUAGACACACAUGAGUUUUCUUAAUGAAUAAUAAAGGACAGACAAGAGAAUUGUUGCAAAAUUUUAUCAUUAAGGUUAAAAACCAGUUCAAUAAAAUGGUUAAGAUCAUUAGAUCCGACAAUGGACCUGAAUUCAACUGUGUGAGUUUUUAUGAUAUGCAUGGCAUCAAUCAUCAAAAGAGUUGUACUGAAACUCCAGAACAAAAUUCUAUUGUUGAAAGAAAACACCAACAUAUUCUAAAUGUAACUCAUAGUCUUCUUUUUCAAUCUAACAUCCCUAAUGCUUAUUGGUCAUAUGCUAUUGGACAUGUUGUUUACUUGAUAAAUAGGUUUCCUUCUCCUAUCCUUCAUAAUAAAACUCCUCAUGAUAUGCUUUAUAAUCUUCCUCCCACUUAUCUUGAUCUUAAAACUUUUGGAUGUUUGUGUUUUGCUUCUACUCUUGAGAAUAAUAGAAAUAAAUUGGAUCCUAGAGUUAGAAAAGGAGUGUUUCUAGGGUAUAAGAGUGGUGUUAAAGGUUACAUUGUUUUGGAUAUAAACACCAAAGAGCUUCUCAUAAGCAGAAAUGUUAUAUUUCAUGAGGACAUUUUUCCUUACAAAAAUCUGCGAGGCAACAAAGAAAAGGAUGACACAGAAGAAGACAAAGUUGAAUCCCUCAAUGACCUUCAAAAGGAUCAUAAUUUUACUGACAAUGACAGAAAUGACCAGCUGGAUGCUUCUGAUCAAGAAAAGGAGCAGCAAAUUUUAGAUGACAGAAACAACAACAACAACAUAGAAGAAAAUCAAGAAUGCCAUGGGCACAGGAGGUCAAACAGGCUUAGAAAGACUCCUGAGUAUCUAAAAGACUAUGUACAUCAGGUUAAUCAAUCCUUAUCUGUGAAAAAUAAUUUUAAAACCCCAUAUCCGAUUUCUGAUCAGUUAUGUUGUGAUAAUCUGUCAGAGAAGCGCCUAAAGUACACCAUGGUUGUCACUGCUAGUAAGGAACCUCAAUCUUACAAUGAGGCAAAAGGCAUGAAUGAGUGGGUUGAUGCUAUGCAAAAAGAAAUUAAAGCUUUGCAAGACAAUGACACUUGGAUUUUAACUCAGUUGCCCCCUGGAAAAAACCCCAUAGGGUGUAAAUGGGUGUAUAAAACCAAGUAUAGGGCUGAUGGCAGCAUUAAAAGGCACAAAGCUAGACUGGUGGCAAAAGGUUACACUCAGCAGGAAGGAAUAGAUUACCUCGACACUUUUUCCCCUGUGGUCAAGCUUACUACUGUCAGACUUCUUAUCGCCCUUGCAGCAUCAAACAACUGGUUUCUACAUCAACUUGAUGUUGAUAAUGCAUUUCUACAUGGGGAGCUUAAUGAAGAAGUUUAUAUGCAACCACCCCUAGGUCUGAUUGUCUACAAAGAAGGACAGGUUUGCAAGCUAACCAAGUCCAUAUAUGGUUUAAAACAAGUCAGUAGGAAAUGGUUUGAGAAACUAUCCUCUUAUCUAAUUUCUGUUAAGUACAAUCAGUCUAAAUCUGACCACUCAUUGUUCAUUAAAAGAACAGCCACAAGCUUUACUGCUUUAUUAGUAUAUGUGGAUGAUAUUAUGUUGGCAGGAAACUCUAUGGAGGAAAUUGACUGCAUAAAAGGACUUUUACACAAGAAGUUUCAGAUUAAGAAUCUUGGAGAGCUCAAGUACUUUUUAGGGUUGGAAGUUGCCAGGUCCAAAAAGGGUAUCCAUUUAUGUCAAAGGAAGUAUGCUUUGGACAUACUUGAGGAAACAGGAAUGCAGGGGUGCAAGCCUUCUUCCACCCCUUUCUGAAGAGACACCGGCCCAUUGUACAGGACGGACAGCUACCUGGAUGACCCAGGUCCAUACAGAAGACUGAUAGGGAAGUUGUUAUACCUCACUAAUACUAGACCUGACUUAUGUUUUUCAAUUAACCUUCUUAGCCAAUUCAUGCAAUCACCUACUAAUCAUCAUUAUCAGGCUAUCCAACAUAUGCUAAGGUAUAUUAAAUCUACACCAUCUGAGGGAUUAUUUUUUGCUGCAGAUUCUGCUAUGCAUUUAGAGGCCUUUAAUGACUCUGACUGGGCUACAUGUCCCGCCACAAGAAGCAGGGAAUUGUUUCCAGAUCCUCUAUUGAAGCUAAUUAGCGGGAACUUGCAGCCACUGUAUGUGAAAUACAGUGGCUCCGUUAUCUUCUACAAGACCUUCAAAUUGAAGAAUCUGGGAUACUUGUCCUCUAUUGUGACAACAAGUCAGCACGACAUAUCGCUCAUAAUCAGAGCUUC